Molecule: transfer RNA, 72 nt
Filed under: Capra hircus (goat)
Lineage: Eukaryota; Metazoa; Chordata; Mammalia; Artiodactyla; Bovidae
Also listed under: 4 other names
Rfam family: tRNA
About the family: Transfer RNA (tRNA) molecules are approximately 80 nucleotides in length. Their secondary structure includes four short double-helical elements and three loops (D, anti-codon, and T loops).
Source: Rfam by way of RNAcentral
UCCCUGGUGGCUCAGAUGGUAAAGAAUCUGCCUGCAAUGCAGGAGACCUGGGUUCGAUCCCUGGGUUGGGAG